RNAcentral lists this ribosomal RNA (963 nucleotides) under uncultured Serratia sp. Its description in RNAcentral is "bacterial SSU rRNA". It matches the Rfam family "Bacterial small subunit ribosomal RNA", at positions 35 to 1008 of the family's 1533-position model. The record is from RNAcentral. Lineage: Bacteria; Pseudomonadati; Pseudomonadota; Gammaproteobacteria; Enterobacterales; Yersiniaceae.
GCCAUGGCGGGGUGCUUACCAUGCAAGUCGAACGAUGACUUUUGUGCUUGCACAGAAUGAUUAGUGGCGAACGGGUGAGUAACACGUGAGUAACCUGCCCCUGACUCUGGGAUAAGCCUGGGAAACUGGGUCUAAUACUGGAUAUGCACCGUAGACCGCAUGGUUUUUGGUGGAAAGAAUUUUGGUCAGGGAUGGACUCGCGGCCUAUCAGCUUGUUGGUGAGGUAAUGGCUCACCAAGGCGACGACGGGUAGCCGGCCUGAGAGGGUGACCGGCCACACUGGGACUGAGACACGGCCCAGACUCCUACGGGAGGCAGCAGUGGGGAAUAUUGCACAAUGGGCGAAAGCCUGAUGCAGCGACGCCGCGUGAGGGAUGACGGCCUUCGGGUUGUAAACCUCUUUCAGUAGGGAAGAAGCGAAAGUGACGGUACCUGCAGAAGAAGCGCCGGCUAACUACGUGCCAGCAGCCGCGGUAAUACGUAGGGCGCAAGCGUUAUCCGGAAUUAUUGGGCGUAAAGAGCUCGUAGGCGGUUUGUCGCGUCUGCCGUGAAAGUCCGAGGCUCAACUUCGGAUCUGCGGUGGGUACGGGCAGACUAGAGUGAUGUAGGGGAGACUGGAAUUCCUGGUGUAGCGGUGAAAUGCGCAGAUAUCAGGAGGAACACCGAUGGCGAAGGCAGGUCUCUGGGCAUCUACUGACGCUGAGGAGCGAAAGCAUGGGGAGCGAACAGGAUUAGAUACCCUGGUAGUCCAUGCCGUAAACGUUGGGCACUAGGUGUGGGGGACAUUCCACGUUUUCCGCGCCGUAGCUAACGCAUUAAGUGCCCCGCCUGGGGAGUACGGCCGCAAGGCUAAAACUCAAGGAAUUGACGGGGGCCCGCACAAGCGGCGGAGCAUGCGGAUUAAUUCGAUGCAACGCGAAAACCUUACCAAGGCUUGACAUGUGCUAGAUCGCCAUAGAAAUA